RNAcentral lists this transfer RNA (65 nucleotides) under Dipodomys ordii (Ord's kangaroo rat). It matches the Rfam family "tRNA". From Rfam's summary of the family: Transfer RNA (tRNA) molecules are approximately 80 nucleotides in length. Lineage: Eukaryota; Metazoa; Chordata; Mammalia; Rodentia; Heteromyidae. The record is from Rfam by way of RNAcentral.
GGUGGCUCAGUGGUAGAGCGCUUGCUUUGCAUGCAUGAGGUCCUGAGUUCGAUUCCUCAGCACCA